GAGUAAUGUCUGGGAAACUGCCUGAUGGAGGGGGAUAACUACUGGAAACGGUAGCUAAUACCGCAUAACGUCGCAAGACCAAAGAGGGGGACCUUCGGGCCUCUUGCCAUCGGAUGUGCCCAGAUGGGAUUAGCUAGUAGGUGGGGUAAAGGCUCACCUAGGCGACGAUCCCUAGCUGGUCUGAGAGGAUGACCAGCCACACUGGAACUGAGACACGGUCCAGACUCCUACGGGAGGCAGCAGUGGGGAAUAUUGCACAAUGGGCGCAAGCCUGAUGCAGCCAUGCCGCGUGUAUGAAGAAGGCCUUCGGGUUGUAAAGUACUUUCAGCGGGGAGGAAGGGAGUAAAGUUAAUACCUUUGCUCAUUGACGUUACCCGCAGAAGAAGCACCGGCUAACUCCGUGCCAGCAGCCGCGGUAAUACGGAGGGUGCAAGCGUUAAUCGGAAUUACUGGGCGUAAAGCGCACGCAGGCGGUUUGUUAAGUCAGAUGUGAAAUCCCCGGGCUCAACCUGGGAACUGCAUCUGAUACUGGCAAGCUUGAGUCUCGUAGAGGGGGGUAGAAUUCCAGGUGUAGCGGUGAAAUGCGUAGAGAUCUGGAGGAAUACCGGUGGCGAAGGCGGCCCCCUGGACGAAGACUGACGCUCAGGUGCGAAAGCGUGGGGAGCAAACAGGAUU
Molecule: ribosomal RNA, 675 nt
Filed under: Escherichia coli
Lineage: Bacteria; Pseudomonadati; Pseudomonadota; Gammaproteobacteria; Enterobacterales; Enterobacteriaceae
Description: bacterial SSU rRNA
Rfam family: Bacterial small subunit ribosomal RNA
Source: RNAcentral